CGGUAGAGUUUGUAUCCUCGGCGUCAGGAUGAACGCUGGCGGCGUGCCUAACACAUGCAAGUCGAACGGGGCGUAUGCAGCGGAGCUUCGGGCGGAAGCAGCAUACAGGCCUAGUGGCGGACGGGUGGAGUAACGCGUGGGUAACCUGCCCUGUACAGGGGGACAACAGCUGAAACGGCUGCUAAUACCGCAUAAGCCCGCGGUGCCGCAUGGCGCUGCGGGGAAAACUCCGGUGGUACAGGAUGGGCCCGCGUCUGAUUAGCUAGUUGGCGGGGUAACGGCCCACCAAGGCAGCGAUCAGUAGCCGGCUUGAGAGAGCGGACGGCCACAUUGGGACUGAGACACGGCCCAGACUCCUACGGGAGGCAGCAGUGGGGAAUAUUGCACAAUGGGGGGAACCCUGAUGCAGCAACGCCGCGUGGGUGAAGAAGUAUUUCGGUAUGUAAAGCCCUAUCAGCAGGGAAGAAAGUGACGGUACCUGACUAAGAAGCUCCGGCUAAAUACGUG
RNAcentral lists this ribosomal RNA (507 nucleotides) under uncultured Lachnospiraceae bacterium. RNAcentral's name for it is "bacterial SSU rRNA". It matches the Rfam family "Bacterial small subunit ribosomal RNA", at positions 1 to 507 of the family's 1533-position model. The record is from RNAcentral. Lineage: Bacteria; Bacillati; Bacillota; Clostridia; Lachnospirales; Lachnospiraceae.